UUUCCUGAGCUGAGAGCUGUUGUCGAUCAAGGAUUUGACAAUUCUGCAAACGUGGAUCUUGCUCUGGAAUACCUUGGAAAAAGUCAUGGAAUACAGAGGACAAGAGACCUAGCAAGAAAGCAUGCUAAUCUUGCUUCUGCUGCAAUUGAUUCCCUUCCUCGAAAUGAUGACGAGGAUGUUCAAAUAUCAAGGCGGGCACUUGUAGAAUUAACUCAAAGAGUUAUCACUAGAACAAAGUGAAGAUAAAAGGCUAGAUCCCAGGUUCAAACUUACUCGACAGCUAGCAAAAUUUGUUCUGUUUCUUUCGGCAGUGUUUCUGGAUCAUGGGGACAACAUUCCCAAAUUUAGUUCAUUCAUUCUUGAACUGAUAAUAAUUCUGCAUACGAAUGCUAUUUUGCACGUAAUCAUUUAAUGGGAACUCGAAGUAGAAUAAGUACCUGUUAUUAUAACUAAAUUUUGCGGUCGGA
Olea europaea var. sylvestris is the source of this 467-nucleotide long non-coding RNA. RefSeq lists it as uncharacterized. The transcript is spliced from 2 exons. The record is from RefSeq and is a predicted model, not a curated record. NCBI's taxonomy places the organism in Eukaryota, Viridiplantae, Streptophyta, Magnoliopsida, Lamiales, Oleaceae.